This 76-nucleotide transfer RNA is filed under the name Slackia heliotrinireducens. RNAcentral's name for it is "tRNA-Ala(cgc)". It matches the Rfam family "tRNA". From Rfam's summary of the family: Transfer RNA (tRNA) molecules are approximately 80 nucleotides in length. Their secondary structure includes four short double-helical elements and three loops (D, anti-codon, and T loops). The record is from RNAcentral. Lineage: Bacteria; Bacillati; Actinomycetota; Coriobacteriia; Eggerthellales; Eggerthellaceae. RNAcentral also lists the same sequence under 19 other names.
GGGGAUGUAGCUCAGCUGGGAGAGCAUCACGUUCGCAACGUGGGGGCCGAGGGUUCGAAUCCCUUCAUCUCCACCA